GUGCUCGCUCUGGCAGCACACAUACUAAAAUUGGAACAAUACAGAAAGAUUAGCAUGGCUCCUGAGCAAGGAUGACACCCAAAUUCGUGAAGCAUUCCACAUUUUU
RNAcentral lists this small nuclear RNA (106 nucleotides) under Ursus maritimus (polar bear). The record is from RNAcentral. Lineage: Eukaryota; Metazoa; Chordata; Mammalia; Carnivora; Ursidae.